AUUAGACAACUUCUUUUCCCCGCUGACGGUGGUGAGACUGUCUAACGAGCUCUGCACAGCCCCGGAUGGCUCCAGUGGCACCUGUGUGGGCAGACUGGAAUGCGCCAAGCAAGGAGGAACCGUAUCGGGGGUCUGCGGAAAGGGCUUUGGUGUGUGCUGCGUCACGAAAGUUGCCGAAAACGGAGUCAUCAGGGCGAAUAACACGCUGAUUCUUAAGGAGUCGUUCAAUGACGGCGUUGACAUCACCUAUACUGUCGUCAAGGUGAAUGAUGACAUCUGCCAGUACAGGAUUGACGUGAAAGAGCUGACGUUAGAUGCCGUGGGUGAAGCAGGAGAUUGCUUCCAAGAUUGGUUUGAGGUCAACCAAGACACCAAGUUCAGCAAGGUCUGCGGCAAAACGAUUGACGUGCACUGUGAGUCCUGUGUCUGCAACUGUUGAU
RNAcentral lists this long non-coding RNA (440 nucleotides) under Penaeus japonicus. RNAcentral's name for it is "uncharacterized LOC122245626". Lineage: Eukaryota; Metazoa; Arthropoda; Malacostraca; Decapoda; Penaeidae. The record is from RNAcentral.